RNAcentral lists this long non-coding RNA (220 nucleotides) under Phoenix dactylifera (date palm). RNAcentral describes it as "long non-coding RNA (PDAC_LNC009706)". Lineage: Eukaryota; Viridiplantae; Streptophyta; Magnoliopsida; Arecales; Arecaceae. The record is from RNAcentral.
UUUGAGUCCAAGAACAGUUGAGUCCAAGCUGAAAUUAGAUUGAGUCCUUGCAAUAAGUGAUUUGAUUCACAAUAGGUUAGCCUCUUCAGUGUCAAUUAGAUUGAGUCCAAGGCGUGAAUGGGUCCAUGGCUAAUUAGAAGUGGUCACAUGUCAAAAUAAAGAGAAGUUCAACCAUGAAGACCUCUCACAUGUGGAAGAAAUUCAAAGUUCAGAUCCAGUU